RNAcentral lists this transfer RNA (67 nucleotides) under Marmota monax (woodchuck). RNAcentral describes it as "tRNA.Val". It matches the Rfam family "tRNA". Rfam says of the family: Transfer RNA (tRNA) molecules are approximately 80 nucleotides in length. The record is from RNAcentral. Lineage: Eukaryota; Metazoa; Chordata; Mammalia; Rodentia; Sciuridae.
GGUUGUGGCUCAAUGGUAGAGCACUCACCUCACAUGUGCGAGGCCCUGGGUUCGAUCCUCGGCACCA